RNAcentral lists this ribosomal RNA (700 nucleotides) under uncultured bacterium. RNAcentral describes it as "bacterial SSU rRNA". It matches the Rfam family "Bacterial small subunit ribosomal RNA", at positions 56 to 730 of the family's 1533-position model. The record is from RNAcentral.
UGCAGUCGUACGAGAAACACAUCCUUCGGGGUGUGGAGUAAAGUGGCGCACGGGUGAGUAACACGUGGGUAACCUGCCCUCGGGAUCGGGAUAACUGGCCGAAAGGCCCGCUAAUACCGGAUAAGACCACGGAAACUACGGUUUUCGGGGUAAAAGUCGGCCUCUCAAAGAAGCCGGCGCCUGAAGAUGGGCCCGCGGACCAUUAGCUAGUUGGUAAGGUAACGGCUUACCAAGGCCGAGAUGGUUAGCUGGUCUGAGAGGAUGAUCAGCCACACUGGAACUGAGAUACGGUCCAGACUCCUACGGGAGGCAGCAGUGAGGAAUAUUGCGCAAUGGAGGAAACUCUGACGCAGCAACGCCGCGUGAGUGAAGAAGGCUUUCGGGUUGUAAAGCUCUGUCAGGUGGGAAGAAACCUUUAUAGUUGAAUAGACUAUAAAACUGACGGUACCACCAAAGGAAGCACCGGCUAACUCCGUGCCAGCAGCCGCGGUAAGACGGAGGGUGCAAGCGUUGUUCGGAAUCACUGGGCGUAAAGCGCGUGUAGGCGGCUUGACAAGUCGAAUGUGAAAGCCCGGGGCUCAACCCCGGAAGUGCAUUCGAAACUGUCAGGCUUGAGUACGGGAGAGGGAAGUGGAAUUCCUGGUGUAGAGGUGAAAUUCGUAGAUAUCAGGAGGAACACCGGUGGCGAAGGCGGCUUCCU